RNAcentral lists this ribosomal RNA (1205 nucleotides) under Flavobacterium psychrophilum. RNAcentral describes it as "bacterial SSU rRNA". It matches the Rfam family "Bacterial small subunit ribosomal RNA", at positions 56 to 1273 of the family's 1533-position model. The record is from RNAcentral. Lineage: Bacteria; Pseudomonadati; Bacteroidota; Flavobacteriia; Flavobacteriales; Flavobacteriaceae.
UGCAGUCGAGGGGUAGAAUAGCAAUAUUUGAGACCGGCGCACGGGUGCGUAACGCGUAUGCAAUCUACCUUUUACAGAGGGAUAGCCCAGAGAAAUUUGGAUUAAUACCUCAUAGUAUAGUGAGUUGGCAUCAACACACUAUUAAAGUCACAACGGUAAAAGAUGAGCAUGCGUCCCAUUAGCUAGUUGGUAAGGUAACGGCUUACCAAGGCAACGAUGGGUAGGGGUCCUGAGAGGGAGAUCCCCCACACUGGUACUGAGACACGGACCAGACUCCUACGGGAGGCAGCAGUGAGGAAUAUUGGUCAAUGGGCGCAAGCCUGAACCAGCCAUGCCGCGUGCAGGAUGACGGUCCUAUGGAUUGUAAACUGCUUUUGCACAGGAAGAAACACUCGGUCGUGACCGAGCUUGACGGUACUGUGAGAAUAAGGAUCGGCUAACUCCGUGCCAGCAGCCGCGGUAAUACGGAGGAUCCAAGCGUUAUCCGGAAUCAUUGGGUUUAAAGGGUCCGUAGGCGGCCAGAUAAGUCAGUGGUGAAAGCCCAUCGCUCAACGAUGGAACGGCCAUUGAUACUGUUUGGCUUGAAUUAUUUGGAAGUAACUAGAAUAUGUAGUGUAGCGGUGAAAUGCUUAGAGAUUACAUGGAAUACCAAUUGCGAAGGCAGGUUACUACAAAUUGAUUGACGCUGAUGGACGAAAGCGUGGGUAGCGAACAGGAUUAGAUACCCUGGUAGUCCACGCCGUAAACGAUGGAUACUAGCUGUUGGGAGCAAUCUCAGUGGCUAAGCGAAAGUGAUAAGUAUCCCACCUGGGGAGUACGUUCGCAAGAAUGAAACUCAAAGGAAUUGACGGGGGCCCGCACAAGCGGUGGAGCAUGUGGUUUAAUUCGAUGAUACGCGAGGAACCUUACCAAGGCUUAAAUGUAGAUUGACCGGUUUGGAAACAGACUUUUCGCAAGACAAUUUACAAGGUGCUGCAUGGUUGUCGUCAGCUCGUGCCGUGAGGUGUCAGGUUAAGUCCUAUAACGAGCGCAACCCCUGUUGUUAGUUGCCAGCGAGUCAUGUCGGGAACUCUAGCAAGACUGCCAGUGUAAACUGUGAGGAAGGUGGGGAUGACGUCAAAUCAUCACGGCCCUUACGCCUUGGGCUACACACGUGCUACAAUGGCCGGUACAGAGAGCAGCCACUACGCAAGUAGGAGCGAAUC